GAAAAUAAUAACUUAUUUGUAAUUAUUGUUAAUUUGUAAUAAAAAUAAUUUUUUAAUAUUAUGAGUAAAGUAAAAUCUAUUAAAAUAUUGAUAAAAAUAAUAAAGAAUAGUACUGUGAAGGAAAUUUGAAAUAUAUGAAAACUUAAAUAUGCUAAAGUAGUUUUAAACAAUCUUACCUUGUGUAUCAGGGUAUUUCAAUUUAAUUGUGUUUUAUAAUAAUCCCGAAACAAAAAGAGUUAUAGUCUUUAAUAAGUUUUUGUAGUAAAUAAUUUAAAAAAAUAACUAUAGAUGUGAAAUGUUAGCCGGUUUUUGUAAUAUCUGGUUACUAAAGAAUAAAAUUAAAUUUAAUAUUUCUAUUUGUUUAUAGAAAUAUCAAGAAAAGAAGGGUUCAGCUUUUUUUUCUAUAAUGAAUAUUUAAUAGUAGACUUAAAAUCUUAAAUUGAAACUAGGCUUAAAAGCAGCCAUUUUAAUAAAGUGUUAUAACUAACAUAAUAAUUAUUAUUAUUUAUAUUCCUACUUUAUUUAAUUAUUUAGUAUUAUUAAUUAAUCAAAUAUUAAAAGUUAUAAUGAUUUAAUCAGUAGAUAAAUUUGUACUAUAAAAAUAUUUAAACAUUUAAGUUUUAUAAAAUAUAAAUAAUUUUAUUAAGUAACUCGGCAAAAAUUGUCUCUGCCUGUUUAUCAAAAACAUGUCUUUAUGAAAUAUUUAUAAAGUCUGGCCUGCCCACUGAAUUUUAAAGGGCCGCGGUAUUUUGACCGUGCAAAGGUAGCAUAGUCAUUUGUCUCUUAAUUGGAGGCUUGUAUGAAUGGUCGCACAAGAAACAAACUGUCUUCAAUAAAAUUAAUUGAAUUUAACUUUUAAGUAAAAAGGCUUAAAUAAAUUAAAGUGACGAUAAGACCCUAUAAAACUUGAUAAAUAAAAUUAAAAAAGCGUAUUAGUUUAUUAAAACUUUUUUUUCUAACUUAUUUUAUUGGGGCGAUAAAAAUAUAAAAAGUAACUGUUUUUAAAAUUUUAAUGGUUAAUAACUAAAUUAAAUAAAUGAUCCUUUAAUAAAGAUUAAAAGAUUAAGUUACUUUAGGGAUAACAGCGUAAUUUUCUUUGAGAGUUCAUAUCUACAAGAAAGAUUACGACCUCGAUGUUGAAUUAAAAAAUCUUUAAGGUGUAGCAGCUUUAAAAGAAGGUCUGUUCGACCUUUAAAUUUUUACAUGAUUUGAGUUCAGACCGGUGUGAGCCAGGUCGGUUUCUAUCUUUUAAUUAAUAAAAAUUACUUUAGUACGAAAGGAUUGAGUAAUUGAAAAAUUUUUGUGUAAUUGAAUUAUAAUAAAU
RNAcentral lists this ribosomal RNA (1324 nucleotides) under Euphausia pacifica (North Pacific krill). RNAcentral's name for it is "large subunit ribosomal RNA". The stretch from base 611 to 1324 matches the Rfam family "Archaeal large subunit ribosomal RNA", at positions 1423 to 2806 of the family's 2987-position model. Lineage: Eukaryota; Metazoa; Arthropoda; Malacostraca; Euphausiacea; Euphausiidae. The record is from RNAcentral.